GGGGUGUGGCGGCCGCCAAUAGAUGCAGUCGAACGAACUCUGGUAUUGAUUGGUGCUUGCAUCAUGAUUUACAUUUGAGUGAGUGGCGAACUGGUGAGUAACACGUGGGAAACCUGCCCAGAAGCGGGGGAUAACACCUGGAAACAGAUGCUAAUACCGCAUAACAACUUGGACCGCAUGGUCCGAGCUUGAAAGAUGGCUUCGGCUAUCACUUUUGGAUGGUCCCGCGGCGUAUUAGCUAGAUGGUGGGGUAACCGGUCUCACCCAUUGGCAAUGAUAUCGUAGCCGACCUGAGAGGGUAAUCGGCCACAUUGGGACUGAGACACGGCCCAAACUCCUACGGGAGGCAGCAGUAGGGAAUCUUCCACAAUGGACGAAAGUCUGAUGGAGCAACGCCCGCGUGAGUGAAGAAGGGUUUCGGCUCGUAAAACUCUGUUGUUAAAGAAGAACAUAUCUGAGAGUAACUGUUCAGGUAUUGACGGUAUUUAACCCAGAAAGCCACGGCUAACUACGUGCCAGCAGCCGCGGUAAUACGUAGGUGGCAAGCGUUGUCCGGAUUUAUUGGGCGUAAAGCGAGCGCAGGCGGUUUUUUAAGUCUGAUGUGAAAGCCUUCGGCUCAACCGAAGAAGUGCAUCGGAAACUGGGAAACUUGAGUGCAGAAGAGGACAGUGGAACUCCAUGUGUAGCGGUGAAAUGCGUAGAUAUAUGGAAGAACACCAGUGGCGAAGGCGGCUGUCUGGUCUGUAACUGACGCUGAGGCUCGAAAGUAUGGGUAGCAAACAGGAUUAGAUACCCUGGUAGUCCAUACCGUAAACGAUGAAUGCUAAGUGUUGGAGGGUUUCCGCCCUUCAGUGCUGCAGCUAACGCAUUAAGCAUUCCGCCUGGGGAGUACGGCCGCAAGGCUGAAACUCAAAGGAAUUGACGGGGGCCCGCACAAGCGGUGGAGCAUGUGGUUUAAUUCGAAGCUACGCGAAGAACCCUUACCAGGUCUUGACAUACUAUGCAAAUCUAAGAGAUUAGACGUUCCCUUCGGGGACAUGGAUACAGGUGGUGCAUGGCUGUCGUCAGCUCGUGUCGUGAGAUGUUGGGUUAAGUCCCGCAACGAGGCGCAACCCUUAUUAUCAGUUGCCCAGCAUUAAGUUGGGCACUCUGGUGAGACUGCCGGUGACAAACCGGAGGAAGGUGGGGAUGACGUCAAAUCAUCAUGCCCCUUAU
RNAcentral lists this ribosomal RNA (1215 nucleotides) under Lactiplantibacillus plantarum. RNAcentral describes it as "bacterial SSU rRNA". It matches the Rfam family "Bacterial small subunit ribosomal RNA", at positions 30 to 1205 of the family's 1533-position model. Lineage: Bacteria; Bacillati; Bacillota; Bacilli; Lactobacillales; Lactobacillaceae. The record is from RNAcentral.